CCCCCCUGGGUGUGACGUCAAAGGCAAUCCCAGCGCAGACACGUGGGUUGGAGCAGCCUAGCGUUCCUGGGCAAUUGCUCCCGAGAUCCAUCAGGCAGCAACGGUCCCACGGGAGCCCCUCUGCUGCUCCGGAAGAUGCAAAAUGGAAAAGUCCAUCUGGGGACGUGCCGCCUUCCCCAGGCAGAGAGGUUACCUGUGUCCCCAGAAAGGCAGCGGAUUUCUGGCGAGAGCCACAGAGAUGGGAAAAGAGGGCUCUCUGUUGCUAAGCCUGACAGCGACCUGAAAUAUUCCCUGAUCUUCCGUCUUGGAAAUUUUUAAAACUCCAAAUUUUCCAAAAAUUUCAAAACACUUAUAUGGAUAAUUUCUUCCUUCUCCCUGGCCUAUUUGAGGACCUUCAUCGUUCACCAAACCGCGCCAGUGUAACGUACCUUGUUCAGCUCUUGGUCAUAAAGUCGUCCUCAGCCUGUCUGUGUGGUCCCGGAGGGUCGGUGGCGGGCAGUUUCCAAAAUUGAGGUAAUAAGAGAUUAGAUGAAUUUGAGACGACCGGCCAAAAAAAAUAAGAAAUUUAAAAGCAACAUUUACACAGGAUAGGGAAGUCUUGAAUGUUUGAUUCUCCCCCACUUUAAAAAGUAAUUUCACUAAUAUUCUCUUUAUUUUUUUCGUUGCACUUCAGUCUUCUAAUUCUUAAAGAAAUUAUGCUUUAAAAAUAAAUUAACUUUUUUCUUUC
Long non-coding RNA from Callithrix jacchus (white-tufted-ear marmoset), 727 nucleotides. RefSeq lists it as uncharacterized. The record is from RefSeq and is a predicted model, not a curated record. Lineage: Eukaryota; Metazoa; Chordata; Mammalia; Primates; Cebidae.